GAGUGCGGAGGACAGGACAAGAUUGGACGAAACCAAGUACGAAACUGAUCAUUAUUGGUACGGACACGGAUAUGGCCAUGGACAUAAAUAUGGUCAUGGCAAGGGAUACGGACACGGUGGAUAUGGACAUUACGGCAAGCCUGGCCAUGGAGGUCACCCCGGACACGGUGCUGAUGGAGUUGAAACCGAAGAUGGAGGGAACUAAAUAAACCCUUGCUAACCUAGCUAAGCCUUCUUCUUCUUCCUUGUUGGCUAAGCUAGGUCUUUUAUGAAUGUGUUGCUUGCUGAAAAUAAAUAACUAAGCUUUAGUUUAUGAAUGUUUUCUUGUCAGCAAGUGUGUGUAAGUAAGGCUCGACAUUGAGAUGUGGCCAUGAAUGUUCUUUUAUAAGGCACCAUGGUUACGUUGAUAUAUUGAUCAGGUAAUUUGUACUACUAUAAAAUAUAUAAGUGUUUUAUUUCUUGUGGUCUGAUGUGCCGUGACAAGUUUGGGAGUUUUGGCUACGUUAAGAAGAAGUUUAGUUAAAUAAGCAGAUGACGAAUGAACUAAAAGUCCACUUUUAUUGUCACCAGCAGCGACGGAUCUAGACAUCUCAUUCGGAGGGG
Molecule: long non-coding RNA, 603 nt
Filed under: Citrus maxima (pomelo)
Lineage: Eukaryota; Viridiplantae; Streptophyta; Magnoliopsida; Sapindales; Rutaceae
Description: long non-coding RNA (CMAX_LNC001885)
Source: RNAcentral